This 764-nucleotide ribosomal RNA is filed under the name uncultured bacterium. RNAcentral describes it as "bacterial SSU rRNA". It matches the Rfam family "Bacterial small subunit ribosomal RNA", at positions 670 to 1431 of the family's 1533-position model. The record is from RNAcentral.
CNGGUGUAGCGGUGGAAUGCGCAGAUAUCAGGAGGAACACCGAUGGCGAAGGCAGGUNUCUGGGCUGUAACUGACGCUGAGAAGCGAAAGCAUGGGGAGCGAACAGGAUUAGAUACCCUGGUAGUCCAUGCCGUAAACGUUGGGCACUAGGUGUGGGGGACAUUCCGCGUUUUCCGCGCCGUAGCUAACGCAUCAAGUGCCCCGCCUGGGGAGUACGGCCGCAAGGCUAAAACUCAAAGAAAUUGACGGGGGCCCGCACAAGCGGCGGAGCAUGCGGAUUAAUUCGAUGCAACGCGAAGAACCUUACCAAGGCUUGACAUAUACUGGACUGCGUCAGAGAUGGCGUUUCCCUUCGGGGCUGGUAUACAGGUGGUGCAUGGUUGUCGUCAGCUCGUGUCGUGAGAUGUUGGGUUAAGUCCCGCAACGAGCGCAACCCUCGUUCUAUGUUGCCAGCACGUGAUGGUGGGGACUCAUAGGAGACUGCCGGGGUCAACUCGGAGGAAGGUGGGGAUGACGUCAAAUCAUCAUGCCCCUUAUGUCUUGGGCUUCACGCAUGCUACAAUGGCCGGUACAGAGGGUUGCGAUACUGUGAGGUGGAGCUAAUCCCUAAAAGCUGGUCUCAGUUCGGAUUGGGGUCUGCAACUCGACCCCAUGAAGUCGGAGUCGCUAGUAAUCGCAGAUCAGCAACGCUGCGGUGAAUACGUUCCCGGGCCUUGUACACACCGCCCGUCAAGUCACGAAAGUUGGUAACACCCGAAGCCGGU